AUUGAACGCUGGCGGCAGGCCUAACACAUGCAAGUCGAACGGUAACAGGAAACAGCUUGCUGUUUCGCUGACGAGUGGCGGACGGGUGAGUAAUGUCUGGGAAACUGCCUGAUGGAGGGGGAUAACUACUGGAAACGGUAGCUAAUACCGCAUAACGUCGCAAGACCAAAGAGGGGGACCCUCGGGCCUCUUGCCAUCGGAUGUGCCCAGAUGGGAUUAGCUUGUUGGUGGGGUAACGGCCCACCAAGGCGAUGAUAGGUAGCCGGCCUGAGAGGGUGGACGGCCACAAGGGGACUGAGAUACGGCCCUUACUCCUACGGGAGGCAGCAGUGGGGAAUAUUGCACAAUGGGCGCAAGCCUGAUGCAGCCAUGCCGCGUGUAUGAAGAAGGCCUUCGGGUUGUAAAGUACUUUCAGCGGGGAGGAAGGGAGUAAAGUUAAUACCUUUGCUCAUUGACGUUACCCGCAGAAGAAGCACCGGCUAACUCCGUG
RNAcentral lists this ribosomal RNA (490 nucleotides) under uncultured bacterium. RNAcentral describes it as "partial 16S ribosomal RNA". It matches the Rfam family "Bacterial small subunit ribosomal RNA", at positions 30 to 507 of the family's 1533-position model. The record is from RNAcentral.